RNAcentral lists this ribosomal RNA (468 nucleotides) under uncultured bacterium. Its description in RNAcentral is "partial 16S ribosomal RNA". It matches the Rfam family "Bacterial small subunit ribosomal RNA", at positions 28 to 507 of the family's 1533-position model. The record is from RNAcentral.
GACGAACGCUGGCGGCGUGCUUAACACAUGCAAGUCGAACGGAAAGGCCCUGCUUUUGUGGGGUGCUCGAGUGGCGAACGGGUGAGUAACACGUGAGUAACCUGCCCUUGACUUUGGGAUAACUUCAGGAAACUGGGGCUAAUACCGGAUAGGAGCUCCUGCUGCAUGGUGGGGGUUGGAAAGUUUCGGCGGUUGGGGAUGGACUCGCGGCUUAUCAGCUUGUUGGUGGGGUAGUGGCUUACCAAGGCUUUGACGGGUAGCCGGCCUGAGAGGGUGACCGGGCACAUUGGGACUGAGGUAGGGCGCAGACGGGUACGGGAGGCAGCAGGGGGGAGUAUUGCACAGUGGGCGGGAGCGUGAUGCGGCAACGCCGCGGGCGGGAUGACGGCCUUCGGGUUGUAAACCGCUUUCGCCUGUGACGAAGCGUGAGUGACGGUAAUGGAUAAAGAAGCACCGGCUAACUACGUG